This 1321-nucleotide ribosomal RNA is filed under the name Bacillus sp. SGE188(2010). RNAcentral's name for it is "bacterial SSU rRNA". It matches the Rfam family "Bacterial small subunit ribosomal RNA", at positions 50 to 1355 of the family's 1533-position model. The record is from RNAcentral. Lineage: Bacteria; Bacillati; Bacillota; Bacilli; Caryophanales; Bacillaceae.
UAUACAUGCAGUCGAGCGGACAGAUGGGAGCUUGCUCCCUGAUGUUAGCGGCGGACGGGUGAGUAACACGUGGGUAACCUGCCUGUAAGACUGGGAUAACUCCGGGAAACCGGGGCUAAUACCGGAUGGUUGUUUGAACCGCAUGGUUCAAACAUAAAAGGUGGCUUCGGCUACCACUUACAGAUGGACCCGCGGCGCAUUAGCUAGUUGGUGAGGUAACGGCUCACCAAGGCAACGAUGCGUAGCCGACCUGAGAGGGUGAUCGGCCACACUGGGACUGAGACACGGCCCAGACUCCUACGGGAGGCAGCAGUAGGGAAUCUUCCGCAAUGGACGAAAGUCUGACGGAGCAACGCCGCGUGAGUGAUGAAGGUUUUCGGAUCGUAAAGCUCUGUUGUUAGGGAAGAACAAGUACCGUUCGAAUAGGGCGGUACCUUGACGGUACCUAACCAGAAAGCCACGGCUAACUACGUGCCAGCAGCCGCGGUAAUACGUAGGUGGCAAGCGUUGUCCGGAAUUAUUGGGCGUAAAGGGCUCGCAGGCGGUUUCUUAAGUCUGAUGUGAAAGCCCCCGGCUCAACCGGGGAGGGUCAUUGGAAACUGGGGAACUUGAGUGCAGAAGAGGAGAGUGGAAUUCCACGUGUAGCGGUGAAAUGCGUAGAGAUGUGGAGGAACACCAGUGGCGAAGGCGACUCUCUGGUCUGUAACUGACGCUGAGGAGCGAAAGCGUGGGGAGCGAACAGGAUUAGAUACCCUGGUAGUCCACGCCGUAAACGAUGAGUGCUAAGUGUUAGGGGGUUUCCGCCCCUUAGUGCUGCAGCUAACGCAUUAAGCACUCCGCCUGGGGAGUACGGUCGCAAGACUGAAACUCAAAGGAAUUGACGGGGGGCCGCACAAGCGGUGGAGCAUGUGGUUUAAUUCGAAGCAACGCGAAGAACCUUACCAGGUCUUGACAUCCUCUGACAAUCCUAGAGAUAGGACGUCUCCUUCGGGGGCAGAGUGACAGGUGGUGCAUGGUUGUCGUCAGCUCGUGUCGUGAGAUGUUGGGUUAAGUCCCGCAACGAGCGCAACCCUUGAUCUUAGUUGCCAGCAUUCAGUUGGGCACUCUAAGGUGACUGCCGGUGACAAACCGGAGGAAGGUGGGGAUGACGUCAAAUCAUCAUGCCCCUUAUGACCUGGGCUACACACGUGCUACAAUGGACAGAACAAAGGGCAGCGAAACCGCGAGGUUAAGCCAAUCCCACAAAUCUGUUCUCAGUUCGGAUCGCAGUCUGCAACUCGGCUGCGUGAAGCUGGAAUCGCUAGUAAUCGCGGAUCAUCAU